Molecule: long non-coding RNA, 10710 nt
Filed under: Sorghum bicolor (sorghum)
Lineage: Eukaryota; Viridiplantae; Streptophyta; Magnoliopsida; Poales; Poaceae
Description: long non-coding RNA (SBIC_LNC005201)
Source: RNAcentral
CCAUGGAGCUGUCACACCCGAUUUUAAGGACAAAAUCGAAUGCACAAUAUAUGAAUGCCAGGAUCAAAACUCAUUCAUAUAUCGACUUUAUUAUAGUAUCAAAAUCAAAGUUUGUUACAUAAUCGAUAAACAUUAUUUCAAAAUGACCCAUGGGUAUAAAAGAAAAAUCUAAAUAAUCUAUUUAUUCUCCAGCGGAAAUGGGGCGCCAUCUUCACAGGAACGUCGACCGGGGGUUGCACCAGCCUAGUACACAUCAUCGGGGUCGAAGGCGUCAUCGUCAGCGGCGUACUCCUGAGUGUCGUCUCCAGCGUCUGGGUGGGGUAGCAGGGGGGGACAAAGAGGAAGGGUGAGUACAUCGAAAUGUACUCCGCAAGUGUAGGAAAAUAUAUGACAUGAGGCUUAUAACAAGGGUAGGCUACUUUGGUUGACACCAGCACCUAUAGCGACACACCUAUUACCUUAAAUCCUUAAGCGCCUAUUUAUCUAAGUGAAACCACAAUCUCCUCAAAUAACUGUGCCAACACUCGGAUUCCAUCUGAGCAAACCACACUUGGACUCCAUCCAAGCAAACCACCAAACCGGAGCCAACUAAUCUCGAAGAAGUCCAAGCCGCUCCUGACCGUGAGCGCGGCUGAUAUACCAGUUUUACACUCUGCAGAGGUUGCACACUUUCACAACGAGUCAUGUUUUCCCCAUCACGCCUCACACUACCUAGGUGCUCGGCAGGGUCACACUACAAGGCCUUUACAAAGCUGUUGUUCCCACCCCUGUGCAUUCACUAAGGAUUCGCCGAUUUAGGCCCCCUCGUGUGCCACCUAACUCUCCACAAUGCACAGAAAAUGGGCAGCUAAUUAGUUAGCCAGGUCAUACCAUAUAGACCUCGUGGAUGCGCUGUUAAGCCGGUUACAUGCUCCGAGAACCGGUCCUUAGAAUCCAACAGGGACGAACACAAACCCGAUCCACCAACAUCUGCCGCCAUUACAUGGCAAAAACCAAACCUCACCCAAUCUUUCCAUCCUGUCAGAUUCCUAGUCUCCAUGUUGCUAAAAACAUUACCAACCCACAUGUUGCGUAGACCAUUUAUCAAUAUUAAAUUAUAGCCAUUUUCCAAUUCCCAAGACUGCAUGCUAAGCACGAUGGCUACCCUUUCAAAACCCAGGUUACAAGGAUGAUAUAAACAAGUUCUAGUAAACCCGAACAUGGGAUUCAAAAUUAAGACUUUGCAUGCAACUAAUGGUCUAACUAAACUAACUCAAAAGUAAAAUAAAUGUAGGCGCAAGAUGGUCAAGGACACUUGCCUUGGAACUGGGUUUGGUCUGGAAAGUCAAACUCCUGAUCCUGGAGGUUCUCGAAAUCAGCACCGUCUGUAUUCAAUACACCAAACAUGGCCCAAACAAAAACAUAAUAAGAACAAUACACCAGACGGUCGAAAAGCACAAAAUAAAGCGUACUGAUGCGUAGAGCUCAUCGAUACGAAUCUAAUGCGAUUUGAACGUGUCAAAUUGGAGCUAGAGUGUGAAAAUGGAUUUUUCAAAGUUUGGAAGAUUAAAAUACUUAUUUGAAAAUGACUACAAAAUAUUUAACAGAUUUAUUUUAAUUCUAAAAAAAAUGUUAUUUAUGAUUUUUAAGAAAAGAAAAAUAAGGCCGAUAAUAUAUUUGUACAAGUAAGGAAGUGGCAAACUAAUACGUUUGGAUGAUUUAUUACUGUGAAGUAUAUAUGUGCUAUUAACUAUAGAUGGGAGGGAGUAGGUGGCUAUUUAUGCAAGACUCAGCGAAUAGUGUCUUGAUCCGAAUAAAACCUAGGGACCAGAAUGCAAAGUACGCGGCACUAUGCUACGCACUGGGUCCAUGAACUAUGGACCGAGAAAGGAAUGUGACAGAAGUCCACCAUGGACCAUGUCCAUGAUGAGGUGUAUUUGGAGUGUAUUUGUGGAUUUGUUUUUCUACAUGAAAACGGUCAAAAAUCGAAUGUGAUGACAUGCUGAUGUGAACGUGAUGUCAGCAAGCUAAGAAACUAAAGCCAACAAGAAAAUAGAGCAUCACGACCGGCUGCUAGCUCUGUGCGGUGCGGUUGCCGGCAAGCGGGUGCUGUGCAUCUGCGUGCGUGAGUGAUGGGAGUACGCAGGGACGAGGCUGUGUGCAGGUGCUUGUAGCUGGCAUUGCCGCGUCCAGAACCGAAGUCAUCGGAGCAGUCUGGUGCAAGCCGUGUGCACGGUGCUGCCAUAGACGGCAACGCACGGUCGCGCUCCGACUGAGGCCGAUUCCGGCUCCGUACGUGCUGCUCUAUGGAGAGUUAAGAUAGAGUCAAAGAGGAUACUCACCGUGCAACCGGAAGGGUCGGAGGAGCGGCAAUGAUCACCAAGACGCGGUGCAUGGCGUGCGGCGACGCUACGGCGUGGUAAGGCGGCGGCGACUGUAGCAGCACUAUUGGAGCUGGAGCGGGUCAGAGCUGUCGUGGUGGCGAGAUGUGUUGUCCGUGUGAAGGCGGUGCUCUCCUAAUACAUAGGGAGAAGGAGAGACGGACGAGGGGCGUGGAGGCUGGGGCUGCUGCGCAAACACCGGCCGUGCUAAGUGCUAAGUGCGCAUGGAGCGGAUCAAGACCCGGGGUGUGUGGAGUGGCUUGGUCCGCGUGUUUGCCUCCAAGAUGCAUGCAACUAAAUAUAGGAGCAGGCUUUGUGCGUGUGGUUCUUGACACCUGGCUGGUCAGGGCGGAUCGAGGCGGCGGAGGUGUCAUGCCUGUUCUACGUGGCGCGGUGGUCGUGGGAGAUGGCUCACGGCUCGGUCCUCGCUGCGGAGUUGGUCGCAGUUGCUGCGCGGUGGGGCUAGGUCCUCGCGGCUCAGAUUGGUCCGUGUGCACCGACGAUGGCGGCGUGCGACGGACGAGCUGGAGGAGACACGGAGUUGCUGUCACAUGUGGGCUGCCCUUGUGGGCUUGCUGCUCACGUGGCUAGCAGGUGCCGCUGGCCCAAGAGAGAGAUGAGAGGAAUUAUAUUUUUUUUCUUUUGUAUAUCCAUUUGAGGCACCAAUUCAAAUCUUUUUUUGUCCAAACCAAAACUUGUUUCGCAAAUAAAAUUUAGGACACUUUAUUUCAUAAAUAAAGCAUAAAUUGAUUCGUACCUACCUUGAAUUUUAAUAUAUAUAUAUAUUUAACCCAACAAAAGUAAUGCAAGUGGCAUGAUGCAACAAAAUAAAUCCUUAUUCUAUAAACUAUUAUUUCCCUCCUCUAUUAUUUAGCCAUAACCUUAGUUUAACUUCAAACAAAUUUUAUAAACUUGCAAAAAUUUUAAACUAGGGUGUUACAAACCUACCCCACUUAAGAAGAAUCUCGUCCUCGAGAUUAGGGAAGGUCGUCGAAGAGAUGAGGGAAUUCUGCUUUAAGAUCAUCUUCUUUUUCCCAAGUGGCAUCUUUCUUGGAAUAAUGCUUCCAUUGCACUUUGCACAUUUUGAUUCUCUUGUUUCGAGUGCCUUUUUCUGAGGUGUCCAAAAUCUUGAUCGGCUCAGAGAAAGAUAAAUCUUCUCUCAAAUCUAUAUCCUCAAAUGGUAGUUGUUCUUCUGGGACCCUCAAACAUUUCUUCAACUGUGAGACAUGGAACACAUCAUGUAUUUCUGAAAAUUGUGGAGGUAACUCCAACUGGUAAGCCACUACUCCUUUUCUGUCAAUCACCUUGAAAGGUCCAACGUAUCUCGGUGCAAGCUUUCCUUUGACAUUAAAUCUCUUGAGACCCCUGAUUGGUGACACUUUGAGAUACACAAAAUCUCCAACUUCAAACACUAGUUCUUUUCUUCUUUUAUCAGCAUAACUUUUCUAUCUAGAUUGAGCCGUCUUUAGGUUGUUUCGAACUUCUUGGACUUGUUCCUCAGCUUCUUUUAUCGAGUCAGGACCAAAUACUUUUCUCUCUCCAACUUGGUUCCAAAACAAGGGAGUUCUACACUUCUUCCCAUACAAGGCCUCAAAAGGCGCCAUCUUGAGACUGGCUUGAUAGCUAUUGUUGUAAGAGAACUCUGCAUAUGGUAGGCUUUUAUCCCAACUCUGGAUGUUCCGAAGGGCACAAGCUCUCAACAUGUCCUCCAAAAUUUGAUGUACCCCUUCGGUUUGACCAUCAGUUUGUGGGUGAUAUGCUGAGCUGAAAUUUAGCCGAGUGUCCAUGGACUCGUGCAAACGUUUCCAAAAGCGUUAUGUGAAUUGUGUACCUCUAUCUGAUACUAUGAUCUUGGGCACUCCAUGCAAACAUACAAUCCGAGACAUGUACAGCUCUGCAAGCUUGGGCCCUUGAUAUGUUUCUUUGACAGGGAUGAAAUGAGCAACCUUUGUCAAACGAUCCACUAUGACCCAUAUGGAAUCAUAUCCGGAUUAUGUUCGGGGUAAGCCUACUAUGAAAUCCAUACUUAUUUCUUCCCAUUUCCACUCAGGGAUUUUCAGUGGUUGUAGCAACCUAGCUGGCCUUUGAUGUUCAGCCUUGAUCCUCUGACAUGUGUCACAAAUGGCCACAUACUCAGCUACUUCUCGUUUCAUGCCAUACCACCAAUAGUAAUGUUUCAGAUCAUUAUACAUCUUGGUACUACCGGGGUGAACUGAGUAUGCUGAAUCAUGUGCCUCUCUCAAAAUCACUUCUUUUAUGGACUUAAUGUCGGGGACACAAAUCCUUCCUUUGAACCAUAUUACUCCUUGUUCAUCUUCUGCGAAUCCUGGAGCCUUACCAUCCUUAAUCAAUUUCCUGAUCUCUAGGAUCUUUUCAUCAGUGAGUUGUCCCUUUCUGAUAUCUUGCUCUAAUGCGGACUCUACUUCCAUAGCCACAACUUCUGUGCUACCUACAAAUCCCAAGUUGAGUUUAGCAAACUCAUCAUACAACUCAGGUUGUCGCUCCUGUAAUUCUAACACGUUGCAAUGGACCUUCCGACUUAGUGCAUCUGCAACCACAUUAGCCUUGCCUGGAUGGUAAUUAAUGUUCAAGUCAUAAUCCUUGAUUAAUUCCAACCAUCUACGCUGUCGAAGGUUCAAAUCUUGCUGAGUGAAAAUGUAUUUCAAGCUCUUAUGAUCUAUAUAUAUCUCAGUCUUUUUUCCAAUCAAAUAGUGCCUCCAAAUCUUUAGAGCAUGCACUACAGCGGCUAACUCAAGGUCAUGAGUAGGAUAGUUCACUUCAUGCUUUCUAAGCUGUCAUGAGGCAUAAGCUACCAAAUGGCCUUCUUGCAUGAGGACACACCCUAGACCCUGGUGAGAGGCAUCACAAUAGACUGAGAAACUCUUCUGAACAUUAGGCAUUAUUAGUAUUGGAGCAGUGGUUAAUCUUUUCUUGAGAUCCUCAAAACUAGCUUGACACUCUGGGGUCCACACAAACUUGGAUCCCUUCUCCAACAACUUAGUCAUUGGCUUUGCUAUCUUAGAGAACCCUUCAAUGAAGCGGCGGUAAUAUCCAACCAUUCCCAAGAAGCUUCGGAUCUCACUCACAUUUUCAGGUACCUUCCAAUUCAGCACAUCUUUCACUUUACUUGGAUCCACAGACACUCCGCCUUUGGAGAUAACAUGACCCAAGAAGAAAACUUCCUUCAACCAAAACUCGCAUUUGCUGAGCUUUGCAUACAAUUGGUGAUCUCUGAGCUUUUAGAGCACUAACCUCAGAUGUCCCUCAUGUUCUUCUUCAUUCUUGGAGAAGACCAAAGUAUCAUCAAUGAAGACCACGACAAAUUUGUCCAGGUACUCCAUAAAGACCUUGUUCAUGAGGUACAUAAAACAGGCAGGAGCAUUGGUCAAUCCAAAUGACAUCACUGUGUACUCAUACAAACCAUAGCGUGAGACAAAAGCUGUCUUUGGAAUAUCCGAGGCUCGGAUCUCAGCUGAUGGUAGCUGGAUCUCAAGUCAAUCUUGGAGAACACACUUGCACCUUUGAAUUGAUCAAACAAAUCUUCAAUGCGGGGAAGAGGAUAUUUAUUCUUGAUGGUAACAUCAUUUAGUGCGCGAUAAUCUACGCACAUCCUCUGAGUUCCAUCUUUCUUUGGGACAAAAAUGACUGGGGCUCCCCAAGAUGAGGUACUAGGACGAAUAUACCCUUUAUCUAGGAGGUCUUGGAUUUGAUCUUUUAAUUCAGCUAGUUGAUUUGUGUCCAUUCUGUACGGCCUUUUGUAAAUAGGUGCAGUACCAGGUACUAAUUCAAUGCAAAACUCAAUUUCUCGGUCUGGUGGCAUACCUGGCAAUUCCUCUGGAAAGACAUCUGGGAAGUCACUGACCACUCUAACCACUUCUACAUCAUUGGCUUGGUUGAGUGUGAUUCUCUCGGUUGGUGCUGCCUCAGCUUGAUAUUCCACCUUGGUACCAUCUGGAUGCUUCAACAGAACCACCUUUCUAGCACAUCCAAUUAUUCCAUCAUGUUUGGUCAGCCAGUCCAUUCCUAGAAUGAUGUCUAUGCCCUUUGACUCCAGGAUGAUAAGAUUUGCAAGGAAAUCUACCCCAUUUAUGGAAAUCCUUAUAUUUGGGCAUACUUGCCUACAUAUCAAUUCUCCUCCAGGAGAGUCAACUAUCAUGUUUCUCUUCAAAGGAAUUUUUGGUAUGCUAUGUUGUGCUACAAACUUGCUGGAUAUAAAGGAAUCUGAUGCACCAGAGUCAAAUAAAACUGUAACAAGGUUGGAAUUGAUGGGUAACAUACCAAGCACAACACCGUAGGUGUUCUGAGCCUCCUCUGCAACAACAUGGUUGACCUUUCCAUAUCGAGCCUGUUGUUGCAGCUGGUUCUGCUGGUCCUUCUUUGGGCACCUAUUGGCGAGAUGUCCCAUCUGGUUGCACUUGUAACAAGGGCCUAUCUUGCUUGAUCCCUGUGCUGGAAGGUUCUGUGCCUGAGCUUGGACUACUUGGCGAGGUGCCUGACAGUUCUGGCGUGCCUGCUGCUGCUGCUGCUGCUGGGGCUGAACCCGCUGAGCCUGCUGAGUUUGCUGUUGUCUAUACUGACCAUUUCCAGAUCCUGGGUUGGAGUUCCUCUGCUGCUGGUACUGGCCUCCUUGCCUAGAGACUGAUCCAGGCUGGCUGAAGCGAGGGUGGACAUGACCCCCAGAUGACUGACCCUGGAAAGACGCCUUCCUCUUGCGAUCAGCUUCAAGAAAUUUCCUUUCCUUUUCAACUGAGAAAGCCUUAUCAACAAGCUUUCGGAAGGAGCGAUAGUCAUUGGAGGACAGGGCAUAGCGGAUCCUAGGGUGAAGGCCCUCUCUGAAACAGUCUUGCUUCUUCUCAUCGGUGUUUACAUCCUCAGGGGCAUAACGGGACAAUUGCGUGAACUUAUUGAGAUAUUCACGAACUGUCAUGGAACCCAUCUUGAGCUCUUGGAAUUCCUUGCGCUUCGCCUUGAUCUCACCAGCUGGUACAUACUGAGCACGAAAGCUGCGACAAAACUCCCGCCAUGUGAUAGCAUGGGCAUCCUCAUGAGCAGCAGUGUAAGAGGUCCACCAGUUCUUCGCUUGGACUUGCAACUGAUGGGCAGCAUAAAGGACCUUGUCACGUCCUUCACAAUGGGCAAUCUCUAGCUUGUCACUAAUCAUCUGGAGCCAAUCAUCAGCAUCCAUCGGCUCCACAGCAUGCUUGAAGAUAGGAGGGUUAGUCAUCAUGAACCUCCUAAGAGUAUCCUCCUGACGAGGUGGAGGAGGAGGGGGGAGGUGCUCUAGCUUGUGCAGCUUGCUGAUCCUGAGCCAUCUGCUGCAUAGAGGCCAUAAUCUGUGCCAUGUUCUGCAUCAUCUCAUUCUGCAUGGCGGCCAUCUGCAUGGGAUCAUAGACUGGUGGCGGUGGCGGUGGAAGGUUGUCCUCCUGAUCAUUGCCUCCAUUUCCUCUGCCGUUCCUGGUGUUGACCGGCAUCUGUUGCAGUUUUUCCAUGGUAGGUGUGAGAUAUGCUAGAUAGAUAACCCGAGAGAUAAUGAAUUUGGAGGGUGCAAAAGAUAGAAGACCCCAAUCUAUUUUAUAAAUAAAUAAAAAAAAUAACAAAUGAUGCCAUUGCAGCCUUACGGACGCAACACAUCAACAAUCAUUACAAAGAUCCAAACCAAAACAUGUGCACAAGUACAUUGCAUACAACGAUCUAUCGAGAUAAAACAUUAGGGUGGCACCUUAGGGUUUGUGGACCUAGUUUGGAACAAAAAGUUUGAAUACAGCAAAGGGAAACUAGAGAUGUGGAGAAUAAGGAAAGAUUUUAUGAAAAUACUUUUCUAAAACACCAUGACUACCUAGGCUAGAAUCCUACAGUCAACGAUGGCUCUGAUACCACUUUGUCACACACGAUUUUAAAGACAAAAUUGAAUGCACAAUAUAUGAAUGCCAAGAUCAAAACUCAUUCAUAUAUCGACUUUAUUAUAGUAUCAAAAUCAAAGUUUGUUACAUAAUCGAUAAACAUUAUUACAAAAUGACCCGUGGGUCUAAAUGAAAUAUCUAAAUAAUCUAUUUAUUCUCCAGCAGAAAUGGGGCGCCAUCUUCACAGGAACGUCGACCGGGGGUUGCACCAGCCUAGUACACAUCAUCGGGGUCGAAGGCGUCAUCGUCAGCGGCGUACUCCUGAGUGUCGUCUCCAGCGUCUGGGUGGGGUAGCAGGGGGACAAAGAGGAAGGGUGAGUACAUCGAAAUGUACUCCGCAAGUGUAGGAAAAUAUAUGACAUGAGGCUUAUAACAAGGGUAGGCUACUUUGGUUGACACCAGCACCUAUAGCAACACACCUAUUACCUUAAAUCCUUAAGCGCCUAUUUAUCUAAGUGAAACCACAAUCUCCUCAAAUAACUGUGCCAACACUCGGAUUCCAUCCGAGCAAACCACACUUGGACUCCAUCCAAGCAAACCACCAAAUCGGAGCCAACUAAUCUCGAAGAAGUCCAAGCCGCUCCUGACCGCGAGCGCGGCUGAUAUACCAGUUUUACACUCUGCAGAGGUUGCACACUUUCACCACGAGUCAUGUUUUCCCCAUCACGCCUCACACUACCUAGGUGCUCGGCAGGGUCACACUACAAGGCCUUUACAAAGCUGUUGUUCCCACCCCUGUGCAUUCACUAAGGAUUCGCCGAUUUAGGCCCCCUCGUGUGCCACCUAACUCUCCACAAUGCACAGAAAUGGGCAGCUAAUUAGUUAGCCAGGUCAUACCAUAUAGACCUCGUGGAUGCGCUGUUAAGCCGGUUACAUGCUCCGAGAACCGGUCCUUAGAAUCCUACAGGGACGAACACAAACCCGAUCCACCAACAUCUGCCGCCAUUACAUGGCAAAAACCAAACCUCACCCAAUCUUUCCAUCCUGUCAGAUUCCUAGUCUCCAUGUUGCUAAAAACAUUACCAACCCACAUGUUGCGUAGACCAUUUAUCAAUAUUAAAUUACAGCCAUUUUCCAAUUCCUAAGACUGCAAGCUAAGCACGAUGGCUACCCUUUCAAAACCCAGGUUACAAGGAUGAUAUAAACAAGUUCUAGUAAACCCGAACAUGGGAUUCAAAAUUAAGACUUUGCAUGCAACUAAUGGUCUAACUAAACUAACUCAAAAGUAAAAUAAAUGUAGGCGCAAGAUGGUCAAGGACACUUGCCUUGGAACUGGGUUUGGUCUGGAAAGUCAAACUCCUGAUCUUGGAGGUUCUCGAAAUCAGCACCGUCUGUAUUCAAUACACCAAACAUGGCCCAAACAAAAACAUAAUAAGAACAAUACACCAGACAGUCGAAAAGCACAAAAUAAAGUGUACUGAUGCGUAGAGCUCAUCGAUACGAAUCUAAUGCGAUUUGAACGUGUCAAAUUGGAGCUAGAGUGUGAAAAUGGAUUUUUCAAAGUUUGGAAGAUUAAAAUAAUUAUUUGAAAAUGACUACAAAAUAUUUAACAGAUUUGUUUUUCUUCUAAAAAAAUGUUAUUUAUGAUUUUUAAGAAAAGAAAAAUAAGGCCGAUAAUAUAUUUGUACAAGUAAGGAAGUGGCAGACUAAUACGUUUGGAUGAUUUAUUACUGUGAAGUAUCUAUGUGCUAUUAACUAUAGAUGGGAGGGAGUAGGUGGCUAUUUAUGCAAGACUCAGCGAAUAGUGUCUUGAUCCGAAUAAAACCUAGGGACCAGAAUGCAAAGUACGCGGCACUAUGCUACGCACUGGGUCCAUGAACUAUGGACCGAGAAAGGAAUGUGACAGAAGUCCACCAUGGACCAUGUCCAUGAUGAGGUGUAUUUGGAGUGUAUUUGUGGAUUUGUUUUUCUACAUGAAAACGGCCAAAAAUCGAAUGUGAUGACAUGCUGAUGUGAACGUGAUGUCAGCAAGCUAAGAAACUAAAGCCAACAAGAAAAUAGAGCAUCACGACCGGCUGCUAGCUCUGUGCGGUGCGGUUGCCGGCAAGCGGGUGCUGUGCAUCUGCGUGCGUGAGUGAUGGGAGUACGCAGGGACGAGGCUGUGUGCAGGUGCUUGUAGCUGGCAUUGCCGCGUCCAGAACCGAAGUCAUCGGAGCAGUCUGCUGCAAGCCGUGUGCACGGUGCUGCCAUAGACGGCAACGCACGGUCGUGCUCCGACUGAGGCUGAUUCUGGCUCCGUACGUGCUGCUCUAUGGAGAGUUAAGAUAGAGUCAAAGAGGAUGCUCACCGUGCAACCGGAAGGGUCGGAGGAGCGGCGAUGAUCACCAAGACGCGGUGCAGGGCGUGCGGCGGCGCUACGGCGUGGUAAGGCGGCGGCGACUGUAGCAGUACUAUUGGAGCUGGAGCGGGUCAGAGCUGUCGUGGUGGCGAGAUGUGUUGUCCAUGUGAAG